Vicugna pacos (alpaca) is the source of this 304-nucleotide non-coding RNA. Lineage: Eukaryota; Metazoa; Chordata; Mammalia; Artiodactyla; Camelidae. The record is from RefSeq and is a predicted model, not a curated record.
AAGUAUCAAUAGAAUUCCUACUCUGGAGAAUGAGACUGGCUUCUCACAUGAUGCUGUCUGCCCACCAUCUUCCCAAAGUAGUUCUGUCAUAAAUUUUAGAAAAAUUGAAAUUCAGUAUUUCCUCUAGUAUAUUUAGGUGAGGAAACCCAGGAGACCCAGGAGCAGUCAGUAACUUGUCUGAUGUCACAUUGAAAACCAUGUCCAGCCCCUUUUCUGUAAUUACAAGACUCUUCCUAAUUUUUCCUUAUGCGUUUCCUCUUGAAGAGACAAGCCGAAGCUUCAGCCAUGCUAAGGAUUCACAUGC